This 212-nucleotide unclassified non-coding RNA is filed under the name uncultured fungus. Its description in RNAcentral is "sequence contains ITS1". Lineage: Eukaryota; Fungi. The record is from RNAcentral.
GUUUAUAUUGUACAUUAUAGCACAAAAGACAUUCCGUUACAUACAAGAGUGUGUAAAAGUUACUCUCAGUCAUUACAACCUCAAGUCAUAGAUGCACAGGUGUGUGUGGAUUGCGACCGUCAGCGUGCACAUGUGAAGUGAAUCACCAGCAACAACUGUCGGCCGACUUUGAAGUUUCAUUAAUGAUCCUUCCGCAGGUUCACCUACGGAAA